AGUGAACGCUGGCGGCAGGCCUAAUUCAUGCAAGUCGAACGGCAGCACAGCAGAGCUUGCUCUGUGGGUGGCGAGUGGCGGACGGGUGAGGAAUACAUGGGAAUCUGCCCAGUCGUGGGGGAUAACGUAGGGAAACUUACGCUAAUACCGCAUGCGCCCUUCGGGGAAAGCCGGGGACCUUCGGGCCUGGCGCGAUUGGAUGAGCCCAUGUCGGAUUAGCUAGUUGGCUGGGUAAUGGCCCACCAAGGCGACGAUCCGUAGCUGGUCUGAGAGGAUGAUCAGCCACACUGGAACUGAGACACGGUCCAGACUCCUACGGGAGGCAGCAGUAGGGAAUAUUGGACAAUGGGCGCAAGCCUGAUCCAGCCAUGCCGCGUGAGUGAAGAAGGCCCUCGGGUUGUAAAGCUCUUUUGUCCGGAAAGAAAAGCGCCGGGUUAAUACCCUGGUGUCCUGACGGUACCGGAAGAAUAAGCACCGGCUAACUCGUGCCAGCAGCCGACGG
This 502-nucleotide ribosomal RNA is filed under the name uncultured bacterium. RNAcentral describes it as "bacterial SSU rRNA". It matches the Rfam family "Bacterial small subunit ribosomal RNA", at positions 29 to 520 of the family's 1533-position model. The record is from RNAcentral.